Molecule: small RNA, 588 nt
Filed under: Pan troglodytes (chimpanzee)
Lineage: Eukaryota; Metazoa; Chordata; Mammalia; Primates; Hominidae
Description: processed transcript
Source: RNAcentral
CUCGGAGGAGCGAUCUGCAGGUAGGGGUGCGCGCGACCGCUCCCCGGCGGGAGCCAGCGAAGGUUUCCAUGUCAGAGGCUGAUGGAGAACUGAAGAUUGCCAGCUACGCACAAAGGCCAUUGAGACACUUCGUGUAGCUGGAAGACACCAACUUCCUGACAGGAGCUUUAUUUCAUUUGGGAUUUCAAGUUUACACACGGUAUCUUCUCAAAAGUUGGAAAAACCUAUAGUUUCAGAAACAACUCUCCAAGUUCCAUUUCCAAGGAAAGUCUUAACCAUUUGUCCCUUCUGGCGUACCCUCUUUCAUUGAAAUCCAUGCAGAAUAUACCAGAUCCCCAAAAUGGAUGGAAGAAUGCGCCUAAAUUGAGCUGUCAGGCACUUGGCUGCGUAACCAUGCUUUCUGGAUUGUGGUGUUGAAAGUGCCAUCCUGUGUGCUCUCUCCAGAUGGCUGUCAUGUACUUGCGUCUGAGAACAGUGUAUGGACCUGCAUGAGCACUAAUCAGUCUUCCUAGCAGACUUGCUCUUUCUCUGGUCGUAUGCCGCCAGAUCCUCUGAGAAGAGAGUGGGCCUUUCCCCUCAAUGGGCAAA